This 429-nucleotide ribosomal RNA is filed under the name uncultured prokaryote. RNAcentral's name for it is "bacterial SSU rRNA". It matches the Rfam family "Bacterial small subunit ribosomal RNA", at positions 355 to 776 of the family's 1533-position model. The record is from RNAcentral. RNAcentral also lists the same sequence under 1 other name.
UGGGGAAUUUUGGACAAUGGGGGCAACCCUGAUCCAGCCAUGCCGCGUGAGUGAAGAAGGCCUUCGGGUUGUAAAGCUCUUUCGGCCGGGAAGAAAUCGUGCAGGCUAAUACCCUGUAUGGAUGACGGUACCGGAAUAAGAAGCACCGGCUAACUACGUGCCAGCAGCCGCGGUAAUACGUAGGGUGCGAGCGUUAAUCGGAAUUACUGGGCGUAAAGCGUGCGCAGGCGGUUUUGUAAGACAGGCGUGAAAUCCCCGGGCUCAACCUGGGAACUGCGCUUGUGACUGCAAGACUAGAGUACGGCAGAGGGGGGUGGAAUUCCACGUGUAGCAGUGAAAUGCGUAGAGAUGUGGAGGAACACCAAUGGCGAAGGCAGCCCCCUGGGUCGAUACUGACGCUCAUGCACGAAAGCGUGGGGAGCAAACAGG